AAUAAUAGGAUCACUAUGAAAACUAAAUUACAUAACAGCGAAGUGUGCCAGGAGGCUGGAGGGUUCAGCCCCCUCCAGAUAUUCAGUGAGCACCUGCUGGGUACCAGGCACUGGCCUCCUCUCGGGCCAGGACCAUAAGCUCCCGAGUGAGCUUUGCUGCUCGUUUAUUCCUGCUAGACUUUGGCACCCUGUUUGGCCACAGCCAAUGCUUAGUAACCAAGUCACUGCAUUCACCCAUGAAGCCGCCUUCCUAAUGAUCCAACAACCCACCAACCCACAGUGCAGCCCGGUGCUGCCACUGGGAAGAGCUGCCCUUCCCCGCGGGCUCUCCUCUUCCUGGACAGAGACACAGGAGGCCACCACCAGGAAUCAGCCUGCUUUCCAGAGACGGCAAAGAGAAUGGGGGCUGCCCAAAGCACCCCAUCCACGACCUUGACUCCAGGAAGGUCCAGGGAAUGAGACCCCACGCCUGGCUGGUUGGGGGAGGACGGGGCACCAGCACCCUGGGUGCCCGCAGGGCAGGACGGAACACAGACCUGCGGCCCUCCAUGCCACCUCCCCAGGAGACACCACGGUGGAUGCCAGGGCUGAAGGGCGCCUGCGGAACACAGGCACCAUCUAGAUCACGGGGGACGCUGACCCACAGAGAUGCCCGCCACCAGACAGGUGCUGGAGAAGCAGGGAGACCCCCUCCAUGCCAGGCAGGAGGCAGAGCUCUGCUGAGUUAUGUGGAGGCAGCCAAGAGAAGACGGGUAAACACAAACCUAUAAACGGUCAUGAGGCUGAGAGGCGCUCUUGGAACCAGCCUGCAGGACACCUGCCCUGGCGCAUUUCUGAGAGCAGCAUGUGCCAACCGGCCAGGCGCAGCCCGCAGUCCUGCAGAUGUGACUGCACUUGUCUCCGUUCAAGGUCAGGUGCUCAGGGUCCUUCCCAGCCUGUCUCUGCACCUCUGGUCGUCGCACUGGGUGUGAUUUUGUCUUUUCAGGGCUGCGUUGCCAUUACAAGGAAGGCCGCUCCCAGCAGAGAACCAGUCCCCUACCGGACACGGGGGAGCGGCUUCAAGUUGAAAAGGCUCCUGUUUUCUUCGGCGCAGCGUCACCAGCACCCUGAGACUGCCGCUGGGGCAGGCUGCACACCCACCUGUCCCCGAGGGUGCCACAGCUCCCCACAGAGGGACUCAACAACCAAACACUCUGCUCAGCUCCAACCGUGGAAAGGGGACGCGGCCGUGCCCCAGAGCUCAGCACUCCUGAGGACACCAGCAAGCCAGGGAACGAGUCCACACAGACACCUCUCCCCAGGGCCCGCCGCAGGGCACACGGCCGCUCCCUGUCACCAGAGACAGGCGCACACCGUCCCUGGGUCCUCCCGAAGCUGAGAGAGGAUCGCCUUCUGUUGAGUAGACCACACCAUCCCAAGGAGCACUCUGUGUUGAAGAAACCAAGGGGGCUUGCCGGGGGUCAUCUAAGUCCCCAGCGCCACAGUGGCACAGAGCUCUCAGACAGUGUAAUCCAGCACCCCAGCUCUUAGGGCCUGGCCGGAGGCUACAGCAUGAGGCCCCACCCAGGCUGAGGAGAGUCCCUCCACCCACACCUGCCCAGACCCCCGAGACAGAGAGGAAACAAUCCCAACAACAAAUGAAAUGAGUUGGGGGCCAGGGGCCAUGAUCCAAGCAGCUAGCAGCUGGCCCCAGGCAUCCGGCAAGUGGACUGCUCAUUAGAAAUGAGGGGAGUCUCCAGGUUCAGUGGCACCCGCUUUUAAUCCCAGCAACUCGGGAGGCUGAGGCAGGAGGAUUGCAAGUUGCCAGCCUCAGCAAUAUAUUGAGGCCCUAAGCAACUCAGCAAGAUCCUAUUUCAAAGUAAAAAAAAUAAAGAGGGCUGCAGAUGUGGCUCAGUGGUUAGGUGCCCCUAGGUUCAAUCCCUGGUACUAAAAAAAAAAAAAAAUGAGGGGACUUGUCCCUUGUUCCAGGAGCUCCUGGGACCCACAUCCCAAGACAGUCCCUCUGAAAGGCUCAACUUCCAAUGUGCUGGCCCUGCACCCUGGGAAUCCGGGAUGAGCAAACACCGAUGACCACGCUUUCUGAAGCCAGGCUAAGAGACUGAUAGGAAUUAGGCCGCGGGCACUUGGCUAGCGCACACUGCUACCUUUAGCUCUCGGAGACAGCACCACGCUCCUGACACCCAACGGCUGAGGCCCAUAAACGGCUGCUCUCUGCAGCUGGUAGGUUAGUGGGCUUCUGACAGUGUCCUCCCUGUCCCCAGUCCUGGGCGGCUCAGGGGGGCAGGUCCACCUCCAGCCCGGCCAGAGCCCUGUGAGGAUGGAGGAGGAGGCCAUUGGGGACAGUGAGUGGCCAAAGUCCCUUUCUCCACGUUUCUGCCUGGCUCUUCCUGGGGGCCCACUCUCCAGGACCAUCCAGAAUGCUGUCCCUUUAAAACUGAAAUGCGUGUUUCCCCUCCGUAAGAAAAGUAAAUCACGCUACAGUGAGUUGAGCUUUGAAAAAAGCAUCCAUCCAUUAAAGUUCAUGGAUCCGCGUUUUCAGGUUGUCCCUCCCCUGGCUGUGUCUCAAGUUACAGCCUUGUACAACCCAAGUCUAAAUAAUAUUCACCAUGAUAAAUGACACCAUAACUCCGAUAUCCACAAUCAAUCUUUGCUUUAAAGAUACAUCCAUCUUCAAUAAUGUUGAUGGGGAUUCUGUGAAAUGGGGAACGUGACUGUCUUCCAGAACUCCUAACUGGGGGGGAAGGAGGCCCUGAGUGAUGGCUGUCAGCCCACAUCUGGCUGCAAAAAUAAAUUAGCCUCAUGUAGACAAAUGAAAGGGCCCGCUCUGCCGAGGAAACAGCCACUCCUGCGCAGGGGCUAAUUUAUAGGACUUCUUUCUGGAAAGUUCCUGGCUAGGCAACAGUCUCCUCCUCGGCUAUCUCUUUAAAGGAUAUCUGAUGUUGUAAAUAACUUCUGUGGGGUGGGGUCGGCCAGCAGGACAAAGGCACAGGAACAGGGGAACAAUAACUUUUCUCACGUUCUCGCACACACGAUUAAAAUGCAAAACUCGACUCUUCCAAGGAGGCGAAAACAUUUAUUUAGCCAAAUGUUUUCUAUUUUAGCAGUGCAGUCUCCUUGGCUGGUUUUCUGUCUGUUCGCCUCCUUCACUCUUUGGUGGUUUUCUGGUGGUUUCAGAACUCACUCAGAAAGUAAAGCACCUGGGGUCAGGCGGCCAGCUCGGCUGGCCCUCCUGCAGCUCUCCUGCAGCUCUCCUGCUCAGCCAGCUUCACCUGGAACCAGGCGGGCAUGGGGUCACGGAUUCCAAGCAACUGAAGAAGAAACAUGUCUGUGGCUUUAGUAGGUGGUUUCAAAAAUGGCCCAGAGAACUGCAGACUCUGA
This is a long non-coding RNA of Ictidomys tridecemlineatus (thirteen-lined ground squirrel), 3378 nucleotides long. Lineage: Eukaryota; Metazoa; Chordata; Mammalia; Rodentia; Sciuridae. The record is from Ensembl.